UACGUAGGGUGCAAGCGUUAAUCGGAAUUACUGGGCGUAAAGCGUGCGCAGGCGGUUUUGUAAGUCUGACGUGAAAUCCCCGGGCUCAACCUGGGAAUUGCGUUGGAGACUGCAAGGCUAGAAUCUGGCAGAGGGGGGUAGAAUUCCACGUGUAGCAGUGAAAUGCGUAGAGAUGUGGAGGAACACCGAUGGCGAAGGCAGCCCCCUGGGUCAAGAUUGACGCUCAUGCACGAAAGCG
Molecule: ribosomal RNA, 238 nt
Filed under: uncultured bacterium
Lineage: Bacteria
Description: partial 16S ribosomal RNA
Rfam family: Bacterial small subunit ribosomal RNA
Source: RNAcentral